AAGUCGUAACAAGGUUUCCGUAGGUGAACCUGCGGAAGGAUCAUUAACACGUAUCCAAACGUUAAAACCCCCCCCGUGAACCUUCAUCCUGCUCUUGUAACCCGCGUAGUUCGCAAUCUCUGAUAAAUCAUAGCCCGGAAAGCUGUAGUGAUUCAGGGACCUCUGGCUACAGUCAGUGUCGGAAAGUGUCAUUGAUUGUGCAAGGAUAGCGCUUCUACGAUUCCUGUAGACCGUACACUCGGGCAGAAGCUUUGCCAAAGCGUCCCCAUGCCCCCUAAUAACCCCACAGUUUAAUGUGAAGCUCAAUGUAAUACAUUGGGUAAAAAAACAGAACAACUGUUAACAAUGGAUAUCUUGGUUCUC
Molecule: unclassified non-coding RNA, 363 nt
Filed under: fungal sp.
Lineage: Eukaryota; Fungi
Description: partial internal transcribed spacer region
Rfam family: Eukaryotic small subunit ribosomal RNA (bases 1-46)
Source: RNAcentral